Molecule: long non-coding RNA, 986 nt
Organism: Alexandromys fortis (reed vole)
Lineage: Eukaryota; Metazoa; Chordata; Mammalia; Rodentia; Cricetidae
Exons: 4
Source: RefSeq, a predicted model, not a curated record
UCAAGCUAAGGACCAAGCUGCAAGUGUCUGCUCUUCCGAAUCACCUCAGAUCUGUUGUGCUGUUAUUGAUAGCACGCUGUUAGAUAGCAGUGUGGUUCUGUGUCGCUCUCAGUGAAGGGCUGAAGGUUUGCAAAAGGUGGGAAAGGUAACCGGAGCUCUUUUUGACAUAGAGUCCAUUUGGAGACCUCAGAGCUAAAUGGAAAAUGCAGGACAAGAGAGAGAGCAAGUUCCCCUUCAACAGAUUUUGUAUCCCUGCAUUUGGAAGACGGAAGCAAAUCAAGAUCCCUUGGCGAGGACUAAUUAUAGCGUUCACCUUUGGAUUGACACAUGGAGCUAAGAUGGGUCUGGAGGUGUUCAGGGAUGGAGAAGACUUUGAUGACUUGCUCAGCUCUGCCUGACACCUGUAUGGGGGAUACUAUCUCUCCUCUCUUCCUGGGGCUCAUGCAGGCCAGGCUGGCUUCAAACUCACUAUGCAGUACAUGUGAGGGCUAAUCUUGGUUGUCAACUUGGUUACAUCUGGAUGCAAUUAAAACCCAAAGAGCUGGGUACAGCCACGAGGGAUUUUCUCAACUGGAUCACUUGAUGUGGGAAGAUCCACACUAAAUUUGGAUCAUUUGAAGUGUGAAGACCAUUCCAAAUCUGGGUUACAUCUUCUGGUGGCAGCCCCCACACAGGAUACGAAAGAAGGAAGCUUUUGGGGCUGGAGAGAUGGCUCAGCGGUUAAGAGUCCAGGCUGCUCUUCCCGAGGUCCUGAGUUCAAUUCCCAGCAACCACAUGAUGGCUCACAACCAUCUAUAAUGAGAUCUGGCUCCCUCUUCUGGCCUGCAGGCAUGCAUCCAGACAGAAUGUUGUAUACAUAAUAAAUAAAUCUAAAAAAAAAAAAAAGAAGCUGGCUGCAUCUUCAAAAUGCCUGAUAUCAUGUGUGUGCUCAGAUGAAUGUGCUCAUGUGUAUACGUGCAGACGCCAGGGGACAGCAAUUUCCGACC